CACGUAGGCGGAUUGAUCAGUUGGGGUGAAAUCCCGGGGCUCAACCCGGAACUGCCUUCAAUACUGUCAGUCUAGAGGUCGAGAGAGGUGAGUGGAAUUCCGAGUGUAGAGGUGAAAUUCGUAGAUAUUCGGAGGAGCACCAGUGGCGAAGGCGGCUCACUGGCUCGAUACUGACGCUGAGGUGCGAAAGCGUGGGGAGCAAACA
This 205-nucleotide ribosomal RNA is filed under the name uncultured bacterium. RNAcentral's name for it is "partial 16S ribosomal RNA". It matches the Rfam family "Bacterial small subunit ribosomal RNA", at positions 568 to 774 of the family's 1533-position model. The record is from RNAcentral.